CUUUUGAUUAUUUUAGCGGCGGACGGGUGAGUAACGUGUGGGUAACCUGCCUUUUACUGGGGAAUAAUCACUGGAAACGGUGACUAAUACCGCAUACGGUUCUUGGAAGGCAUCUUCUAGGAAAGAAAGGAUUUAUUCGGUAAAAGAUGGGCCCGCAUCUGAUUAGCUAGUUGGUGAGAUAACAGCCCACCAAGGCGACGAUCAGUAGCCGACCUGAGAGGGUGACCGGCCACAUUGGGACUGAGACACGGCCCAAACUCCUACGGGAGGCAGCAG
RNAcentral lists this ribosomal RNA (276 nucleotides) under uncultured bacterium. RNAcentral's name for it is "partial 16S ribosomal RNA". It matches the Rfam family "Bacterial small subunit ribosomal RNA", at positions 80 to 354 of the family's 1533-position model. The record is from RNAcentral.